RNAcentral lists this non-coding RNA (128 nucleotides) under Frankia alni. Its description in RNAcentral is "Glycine sequence". It matches the Rfam family "Glycine riboswitch aptamer". Rfam says of the family: This family represents the bacterial glycine riboswitch. The record is from RNAcentral. RNAcentral also lists the same sequence under 1 other name. Lineage: Bacteria; Bacillati; Actinomycetota; Actinomycetes; Frankiales; Frankiaceae.
CAACUCUGGAAAGUGGACAUCCCGAUGUCCCGCCGACGGUGAAAGCCGCGGCCGUCGUCCGCGGGUCCUCGGCUCGGACCCAUGGCGGCGGCGGCCGGUGAAGCUCUCAGGCCAAUGACAGAGGGGGA